GAAGAGCUCUACGUCGAAGGGGCUAGCGACCCACGGCGGCCCCGAGCCAUGCGCUGGCGUCCGUGAGGGUGUCGGUGAAGCGUUGGUAGGGGUACGUGCAGGCCGGGCUAUUGAGCCUCGAAAUAACGGGAUUGGGGUGCCCACGCUGUCACGCAGGCGGAAGGCAACACUGUCGAGGGCGUUUUCGCGAGCUGUCGGCGGGCCCCGCGGGGUCAGAGAACC
This is a non-coding RNA of Micromonospora sp. CB01531, 222 nucleotides long. The record is from Rfam. Lineage: Bacteria; Bacillati; Actinomycetota; Actinomycetes; Micromonosporales; Micromonosporaceae.